Molecule: ribosomal RNA, 386 nt
Filed under: uncultured bacterium
Lineage: Bacteria
Description: partial 16S ribosomal RNA
Rfam family: Bacterial small subunit ribosomal RNA
Source: RNAcentral
AUACGUAGGGGGCGAGCGUUAUCCGGAUUUAUUGGGCGUAAAGCGUGUGUAGGCGGUUUGUUAAGUUUAAGAUUAAAGCCCGAGGCUUAACCUCGGUUCGUCUUAAAAACUGGCAGACUUGAGUGCAGUAGAGGAGAGGGGAAUUUCUAGUGUAGCGGUUAAAUGCGUAGAUAUUAGAAGGAACACCAGUGGCGAAGGCGGCUUGCUGGGCUGUUACUGACGCUGAGACACGAAAGCGUGGGGAGAAAAUAGGAUUAGAUCCCCUAGUAGUCCACGCCGUAAACGAUGAGUACUAAGUGUCGGGUAACCGGUGCUGAAGUUAACACAUUAAGUACUCCGCCUGAGUAGUACGGUCGCAAGGCUGAAACUCAAAUGAAUUGACGGGG